ACACCCCCUAACUAGCCAUAAGCACCCCAGUCUUUAGCUACACCCAAGUCUGGGAUGCAAGGGGGCCUUAGCAGCUGGCUGACCCAGGAUGCCCAAGGUCACCAUUCCCUAGACUCUAGGCAUCAUGCCACAUGCUGCACAUGCAGCGUCUUUGAGUCCUUGCAGCCGUGUGAGGCACGGUAUCAUUACUCCCAUUUUACAGAGGAAGAUACUGAAGCUCAGAGAGUGCCUGAGCAGCCCUGGAGAAGGAGUGUCACUUUUCCUCCAUCUCUGCCACUGACUGGCUGGAUGCACAGGAGGAUUGGGUCUCCAGACAGGAUUGUAAAGGGCAUGAGGGCUGCUUGUCCUUAUCAGAAGUUUCCUGAGCACCAGCCCUUAGAGACAGGGAGGAAGGCAAGAGUGCGCCUUUGAGGAACGCACAAGCCCAGGAGUUCCAACUGGGCUGCAGUGGAGGCUAAGUUGCAGCAGGACUUUUGAGCAAGCAUGCACAGAGGCCAGCAAGAGCAACUGGAGGCUGUGGUGCCGUGCUACUCGUAUGGGCAGAAGCUGUCCAAACUGGCCAUCCUGAGGAUCGCCUGUAACUACAUCCUGUCCCUGGCGCGGCUGGCUGACCUCGACUACAGUGCCGACCACAGCAACCUCAGCUUCUCUGAGUGUGUGCAGCGCUGCACCCGCACCCUGCAGGCUGAGGGACGUGCCAAGAAGCGCAAGGAGUGACUGGCUGCAGGCAAGACCAAGGCCACCACUGUGGGCCCUCCUUCCAGUCAGGCCUGAGGACAAGGUGAGCUCGCUGAGUCCAGCCUCGUGGUCUUCUCCAAGAUGCCACCAGACGCCCAGCCUACAGCCUCUCAGGGUCGGAUCGGAGCACGCCUGCCUCCCUCUCCCCUCCACCCUCACCCAGCCACUCCCAGGCUGCUUCGCACUUUGCCCUCUGCCUGGUGGGGAGGGGAGAGCUCAGCCCCCCACUCACUCAGACCCCAAGGCCCACUGUCCAGCUGCAGAAAUUCGUUGCCAAAGAUUGGACAGAGACACCGAAGGAAAUGGGGUGAUGAAACCCCACAGCGAAAAGCCACACCGUUGCUCUGUGACUUUUGCUCCUCCUGUUGCCUGAGCCCCAUCUCAAGCCAAAGAUGAGUCAGUGGUUCUGCCAGGAACUCAUGGAAGGGAUGGGCAUUUGAUGACCCCUGGAGGUCAUCUUGGCCCUCUAACCUGGCGCUCUCUCUCCACUGGGCCUUGCGCUGGCUGAGUGCAAGACAAGCCUUAGGGGCUGUGAGAGGGUGCCUGGGCGGGGCCGGUAGUGGGGCCUGAGAUCCCGGCCCACUCUCUCCCCUUCAUUGGCUGCCCAGGCCGCUGGUCCCAGUUCUCAGUGUCCCUGGGUCCAGGCUUCUUGGGUCCUGAGCAUCACCAGAAGGGAGUAAGCAGGGAGAGAAGCAAUAUUACUCCCUCCCCUACACCAGGGACUUGCCCCAGGGCAGCUACCUAUGGGUCUUUGCUCCCCCAGUCAGCGUCUCCUCACUGUGACCCACUCCCAUGGGCCCCCAUCCCAGGCAGCCAGCCCAUGGGCAGGCCCUGCCAUGGACAGAAAAAGAGUUUUUCUCUUGUUCAGCCUGCCCGUGGCCUGAGGAAGGAGUGGAGGCUGGGUUGGCUCGAGCCGUCCUACUGGGCAAGAUGGCGCCCCACUUGGAGGGCGGUGGCCUGUUACAGGGUGUGCAGGGGCAGAGAAGGAAGGGACCAGGGGACUGGGCCAGUAUGUGGAGGACGGAGGGGUGUGUUCAAAGCCAAGGCCUGCCCCUUCCUUGUGCUCAAAUGGCCAAAGCUGUUCACAUCUGGGCUCAACCAUCUGCUUCAAAUUGAAGUAAAAGCCCCAAAAUGUCAAGAAAA
RNAcentral lists this small RNA (1881 nucleotides) under Pongo abelii (Sumatran orangutan). Its description in RNAcentral is "processed transcript". The record is from RNAcentral. Lineage: Eukaryota; Metazoa; Chordata; Mammalia; Primates; Hominidae.